Molecule: ribosomal RNA, 1403 nt
Filed under: Streptococcus sp. 2010_Ileo_MS_IIIf
Lineage: Bacteria; Bacillati; Bacillota; Bacilli; Lactobacillales; Streptococcaceae
Description: bacterial SSU rRNA
Rfam family: Bacterial small subunit ribosomal RNA
Source: RNAcentral
ACGCUGAAGAGAGGAGCUUGCUCUUCUUGGAUGAGUUGCGAACGGGUGAGUAACGCGUAGGUAACCUGCCUUGUAGCGGGGGAUAACUAUUGGAAACGAUAGCUAAUACCGCAUAACAAUGGAUGACACAUGUCAUUUAUUUGAAAGGGGCAAUUGCUCCACUACAAGAUGGACCUGCGUUGUAUUAGCUAGUAGGUGAGGUAACGGCUCACCUAGGCGACGAUACAUAGCCGACCUGAGAGGGUGAUCGGCCACACUGGGACUGAGACACGGCCCAGACUCCUACGGGAGGCAGCAGUAGGGAAUCUUCGGCAAUGGGGGCAACCCUGACCGAGCAACGCCGCGUGAGUGAAGAAGGUUUUCGGAUCGUAAAGCUCUGUUGUAAGUCAAGAACGAGUGUGAGAGUGGAAAGUUCACACUGUGACGGUAGCUUACCAGAAAGGGACGGCUAACUACGUGCCAGCAGCCGCGGUAAUACGUAGGUCCCGAGCGUUGUCCGGAUUUAUUGGGCGUAAAGCGAGCGCAGGCGGUUUGAUAAGUCUGAAGUUAAAGGCUGUGGCUCAACCAUAGUUCGCUUUGGAAACUGUCAAACUUGAGUGCAGAAGGGGAGAGUGGAAUUCCAUGUGUAGCGGUGAAAUGCGUAGAUAUAUGGAGGAACACCGGUGGCGAAAGCGGCUCUCUGGUCUGUAACUGACGCUGAGGCUCGAAAGCGUGGGGAGCGAACAGGAUUAGAUACCCUGGUAGUCCACGCCGUAAACGAUGAGUGCUAGGUGUUGGAUCCUUUCCGGGAUUCAGUGCCGCAGCUAACGCAUUAAGCACUCCGCCUGGGGAGUACGACCGCAAGGUUGAAACUCAAAGGAAUUGACGGGGGCCCGCACAAGCGGUGGAGCAUGUGGUUUAAUUCGAAGCAACGCGAAGAACCUUACCAGGUCUUGACAUCCCGAUGCUAUUUCUAGAGAUAGAAAGUUACUUCGGUACAUCGGUGACAGGUGGUGCAUGGUUGUCGUCAGCUCGUGUCGUGAGAUGUUGGGUUAAGUCCCGCAACGAGCGCAACCCCUAUUGUUAGUUGCCAUCAUUCAGUUGGGCACUCUAGCGAGACUGCCGGUAAUAAACCGGAGGAAGGUGGGGAUGACGUCAAAUCAUCAUGCCCCUUAUGACCUGGGCUACACACGUGCUACAAUGGUUGGUACAACGAGUUGCGAGUCGGUGACGGCAAGCUAAUCUCUUAAAGCCAAUCUCAGUUCGGAUUGUAGGCUGCAACUCGCCUACAUGAAGUCGGAAUCGCUAGUAAUCGCGGAUCAGCACGCCGCGGUGAAUACGUUCCCGGGCCUUGUACACACCGCCCGUCACACCACGAGAGUUUGUAACACCCGAAGUCGGUGAGGUAACCUUUNNAGCCAGCC